GACGAACGCUGGCGGCGUGCUUAACACAUGCCAGUCGAACGGAAAGGCCCUGCUUUUGUGGGGUGCUCGAGUGGCGAACGGGUGAGUAACACGUGAGUAACCUGCCCUUGACUUUGGGAUAACUUCAGGAAACUGGGGCUAAUACCGGAUAGGAGCUCCUGCUGCAUGGUGGGGGUUGGAAAGUUUCGGCGGUUGGGGAUGGACUCGCGGCUUAUCAGCUUGUUGGUGGGGUAGUGGCUUACCAAGGCUUUGACGGGUAGCCGGCCUGAGAGGGUGACCGGCCACAUUGGGACUGAGAUACGGCCCAGACUCCUACGGGAGGCAGCAGUGAGGAAUAUUGCACAAUGGGCGGAAGCCUGAUGCAGCAACGCCGCGUGCGGGAUGACGGCCUUCGGGUUGUAAACCGCUUUCGCCUGUGACGAAGCGUGAGUGACGGUAAUGGGUAAAGAAGCACCGGCUAACUACGUG
RNAcentral lists this ribosomal RNA (468 nucleotides) under uncultured bacterium. RNAcentral describes it as "partial 16S ribosomal RNA". It matches the Rfam family "Bacterial small subunit ribosomal RNA", at positions 28 to 507 of the family's 1533-position model. The record is from RNAcentral.